Molecule: ribosomal RNA, 468 nt
Filed under: uncultured bacterium
Lineage: Bacteria
Description: partial 16S ribosomal RNA
Rfam family: Bacterial small subunit ribosomal RNA
Source: RNAcentral
GACGAACGCUGGCGGCGUGCUUAACACAUGCAAGUCGAACGGAAAGGCCCUGCUUUUGUGGUGUGCUCGAGUGGCGAACGGGUGAGUAACACGUGAGUAACCUGCCCUUGACUUUGGGAUAACUUCAGGAAACUGGGGCUAAUACCGGAUAGGAGCUCCUGCUGCAUGGUGGGGGUUGGAAAGUUUCGGCGGUUGGGGAUGGACUCGCGGCUUAUCAGCUUGUUGGUGGGGUAGUGGCUUACCAAGGCUUUGACGGGUAGCCGGCCUGAGAGGGUGACCGGCGACAUGGGGACUGAGAGACGGCCCAGACGCCUACGGGAGGCAGCAGUGGGGAAUAUUGCACAAUGGGCGGAAGCCUGAUGCAGAAACGCCGCGUGCGGGAUGACGGCCUUCGGGUUGUAAACCGCUUUCGCCUGUGACGAAGCGUGAGUGACGGUAAUGGGUAAAGAAGCACCGGCUAACUACGUG